Molecule: long non-coding RNA, 690 nt
Organism: Austrofundulus limnaeus
Lineage: Eukaryota; Metazoa; Chordata; Actinopteri; Cyprinodontiformes; Rivulidae
Exons: 3
Source: RefSeq, a predicted model, not a curated record
GGUCUACAUCAGAUCUACAUCAGGUCAGGACUUUAUCAGGUCUAAAUCAGGACUUUAUCACGUCUACAUCAGGUCUAAAUCAGGACUCUAUCAGGUCUACAUCAGGUCUAAAUCAGGACUUUAUCAGGUCUAAAUCAGGACUCUAUCAGGUCUACAUCAGGUCUAAAUCAGGACUCUAUCAGGUCUACAUCAGGUCUAAAUCAGGACUCUAUCAGGUCUACAUCAGGUCUAAAUCAGGACUCUAUCAGGUCUACAUCAGGUCUAAAUCAGGACUCUAUCAGGUCUACAUCAGGACUCUAUCAGGUCUAAAUCAGGACUUUAUCAGGUCUAAAUCAGGACUCUAUCAGGUCUACAUCAGGUCUAAAUCAGGACUCUAUCAGGUCUACAUCAGGACUUUAUCAGGUCUAAAUCAGGACUCUAUCAGGUCUAAAUCAGGACUCUAUCAGGUCUAAAUCAGGACUUUAUCAGGUCUAAAUCAGGACUCUAUCAGGUCUAAAUCAGGACUUUAUCAGGUCUAAGUCAGGACUCUAUCACGUCUACAUGAGGUCUACAUCAGUACUCCACCUGGUCUACAUCAGGACUUAUGACUUGACAAAGACUUGACUUUUUUGACUUGCAAUGAGUUAGUCCCACAUCUGACUCCAGGGACAGAAAGUCCAGGUCCUCACAGGGUCUGAAACCUACCUCUAG